This 555-nucleotide ribosomal RNA is filed under the name uncultured Prochlorococcus sp. RNAcentral describes it as "bacterial SSU rRNA". It matches the Rfam family "Bacterial small subunit ribosomal RNA", at positions 35 to 638 of the family's 1533-position model. The record is from RNAcentral. Lineage: Bacteria; Bacillati; Cyanobacteriota; Cyanophyceae; Synechococcales; Prochlorococcaceae.
GCUGGCGGCGUGCUUAACACAUGCAAGUCGAACGAACCUUCGGGUUAGUGGCGGACGGGUGAGUAACGCGUGAGAAUCUGCCCUCAGGAGGGGGAUAACGGUUGGAAACGACCGCUAAUACCCCAUAUGCCGCGAGGUGAAAUGAAUUUCGCCUGAGGAUGAGCUCGCGUCUGAUUAGUUAGUUGGUGGGGUAAAGGCCUACCAAGACAUCGAUCAGUAGCUGGUCUGAGAGGAUGAUCAGCCACACUGGGACUGAGACACGGCCCAGACUCCUACGGAGGCAGCAGUGGGGAAUUUUCCGCAAUGGGCGAAAGCCUGACGGAGCAACGCCGCGUGAGGGAUGAAGGCCUCUGGGCUGUAAACCUCUUUUAUCAAGGAAGAAGAUCUGACGGUACUUGAUGAAUAAGCCACGGCUAAUUCCGUGCCAGCAGCCGCGGUAAUACGGGAGUGGCAAGCGUUAUCCGGAAUUAUUGGGCGUAAAGCGUCCGCAGGCGGUCUGUCAAGUCUGCUGUUAAAGCGUGGAGCUUAACUCCAUUUCGGCAGUGGAAACUGACA